GACGAACGCUGGCGGCGUGCUUAACACAUGCAAGUCGAACGGAAAGGCCCUGCUUUUGUGGGGUGCUCGAGUGGCGAACGGGUGAGUAACACGUGAGUAACCUGCCCUUGACUUUGGGAUAACUUCAGGAAGCUGGGGCUAAUACCGGAUAGGAGCUCCUGCUGCAUGGUGGGGGUUGGAAAGUUUCGGCGGUUGGGGAUGGACUCGCGGCUUAUCAGCUUGUUGGUGGGGUAGUGGCUUACCAGGGCUUUGACGGGUAGCCGGCCUGAGAGGGUGACCGGCCACAUUGGGACUGAGAUACGGCCCAGACUCCUACGGGAGGCAGCAGUGGGGAAUAUUGCACAAUGGGCGGAAGCCUGAUGCAGCAACGCCGCGUGCGGGAUGACGGCCUUCGGGUUGUAAACCGCUUUCGCCUGUGACGAAGCGUGAGUGACGGUAAUGGGUAAAGAAGCACCGGCUAACUACGUG
This 468-nucleotide ribosomal RNA is filed under the name uncultured bacterium. RNAcentral describes it as "partial 16S ribosomal RNA". It matches the Rfam family "Bacterial small subunit ribosomal RNA", at positions 28 to 507 of the family's 1533-position model. The record is from RNAcentral.